RNAcentral lists this ribosomal RNA (254 nucleotides) under uncultured bacterium. RNAcentral's name for it is "partial 16S ribosomal RNA". It matches the Rfam family "Bacterial small subunit ribosomal RNA", at positions 524 to 776 of the family's 1533-position model. The record is from RNAcentral.
UACGUAGGGCGCAAGCGUUGUCCGGAUUCAUUGGGCGUAAAGAGCUCGUAGGCGGCUUGGUAAGUCGGAUGUGAAACCUCCAGGCUCAACCUGGAGUCGCCAUCCGAUACUGCCAUGGCUAGAGUCCGGUAGGGGCCCACGGAACUCCUGGUGUAGCGGUGAAAUGCGCAGAUAUCAGGAAGAACACCGGUGGCGAAGGCGGUGGGCUGGGCCGGCACUGACGCUGAGGAGCGAAAGCGUGGGGAGCGAACAGG